GCGACCGAACAGUUAUGGCUUCUUGCCUGAAGACGUUUUUAAGUAUUCAGUAUCAUGUUCAGUAUUUUAUUAACUUAGAAGGUACUUACUUUAUCAUAGAGUGACAUUGUAAGGGUUAACAGGAUACCAGAAAGGGUGACAUGGUAUUUUACUUUGCUACAAGAUCAUACCAUACGUAUUAUUGUUUGUUCUACUUAAUAACAUAAAAUCAUGAUGCACUCAAAACCUGCGGUUGUUUAAUAUUCCAUAACCACCUUGGGUAAACCAUAAUCAUGUCUUAAUAAACAUUAUAUUGGUCCAGUUAAACAUAGAUUGCUACCAACCUAUACAAAUAUGAAGACUGUUUUACCCAACAGAGAUUUGUUUAUUAUUUCCAAAUAGGCCAUGGAAUUUCUGAAGUCAUACAAGAAGGACCUGUGCAAGUGGUUAUCGACGAUGGAUGCUGAGUUUAUCAUUGACAAGUGUGAAGAUAUCCUAACAGCUAAACAGGACAAGGCUAUUCGCAAUCAAAAAACGGAUCCAGGGAAGAUCAGUCUUCUUUUGGAGACAUUCAUUGAAAUGGAAGAAAGUACAUGUCAGAACUUCCUUAAGAUUCUGAAGAAAGAGCAGACACAUUAUCCAGGCCUUCAACAACAUUUCAGCAAGAGCACACAAGCUUCAUCUAGCCCAACGGUGUAUGCAGAUUGCAACAGCACUGUUGAUACCAGGAAAGUCACCAAUGUCCGCGGUAUUAAAGACUUAGACAUGCAUGUAAUCGUUCAAGCAGGAUCGGGGAAUCGAUCUGGAAUGAACGUCAGCCAACCACCCCCACAUGCAGAAGUGGUUGCAACAGAACACAGCCAUGUAUUUGCAUCAGAGAUAUCGAACUGUACAAUCGAUGGCAACCUCAAUAUGUCUGUGAUGCAGGUCCCAGCCCCCCAGGCCUCACAGUGUCCAGGUGAACUACUGCAUUUAGGCAGGUUUUAUCUUCACAGGUCUCAGUGGUAG
This 987-nucleotide long non-coding RNA is filed under the name Oncorhynchus mykiss (rainbow trout). Its description in RNAcentral is "lncRNA (ENSOMYG00000051618.1)". The record is from RNAcentral. Lineage: Eukaryota; Metazoa; Chordata; Actinopteri; Salmoniformes; Salmonidae.